This 253-nucleotide ribosomal RNA is filed under the name uncultured bacterium. Its description in RNAcentral is "partial 16S ribosomal RNA". It matches the Rfam family "Bacterial small subunit ribosomal RNA", at positions 524 to 776 of the family's 1533-position model. The record is from RNAcentral.
UACGUAGGGUGCUAGCGUUGUUCGGAAUCAUUGGGCGUAAAGCGCGUGUAGGUGGUCAUCUAAGUCGAGUGUGAAAGCCCCAGGCUCAACCUGGGAAGUGCAUUCGAAACUAGUUGACUAGAAGACAGUAGAGGAAAGUGGAAUUCCAAGUGUAGAGGUGAAAUUCGUAGAUAUUUGGAGGAAUACCGGCGGCGAAGGCGGCUUUCUGGGCUGUUCUUGACACUGAGACGCGAAAGCGUGGGUAGCAAACAGG